CGCGGUGAUGGCGCAGGCGACGAUGCCCUCCUUGGCGAGGCGGGUCUCGACCUCGGCGACCAUGCGGCGUUCGGGGACGCACACCGCGA
This 89-nucleotide transfer RNA is filed under the name Mycobacterium tuberculosis. Its description in RNAcentral is "tRNA-Ala(ggc)". Lineage: Bacteria; Bacillati; Actinomycetota; Actinomycetes; Mycobacteriales; Mycobacteriaceae. The record is from RNAcentral.